RNAcentral lists this long non-coding RNA (885 nucleotides) under Cucumis sativus (cucumber). RNAcentral describes it as "long non-coding RNA (CSAT_LNC000947)". Lineage: Eukaryota; Viridiplantae; Streptophyta; Magnoliopsida; Cucurbitales; Cucurbitaceae. The record is from RNAcentral.
GCUGUCGAUUUUCAGAAGGGUCGUGUUGAGUGGGACGGGUUUGGAGUUAACGACGAUGGACGUAACGCCGAUGAAAUAUUCAGUGGAUUUUUCCCCGGCGGAGGACACGCCUGCGGUACUGACGGGGUUGAUGAAGAGCGGGGUGUAGGUGAAGGAAUUUGUUAAGUCGAUGUUGGGUAAGAAAUGGUAUGGGCCGUUACCGGAGAAGAUGACGCCAGGGGAACUAGUGGAGCCGCUCAAGCACACGGCGAAUUUUCUGUUAAAGCUGAAGGCGGCGGCGAAUUGGGAUGGUAGAGAGAUUCCGUUUCUUCCGAAUCCGGCCAUUCCAGUUACGCCGGGGGCGAGGCCUUCGAGGAGAAAAGUGGAACCGCAGACGAAGAGGAAAUUAGGGAUCGACACGGCUCUGGUUGGAUUGAAGCCGUUGGUGGAGGAAACAGAGACGACGUCUGAAGCGACUUCUCCGCUAGUUGAGAGACGGAUAAUGGUGUUGCCGGGGAAAAGGCUGCAGGUAUUGUUGUUGCAGCCGGGGCGGGGUGGCGAAAAGCAUUGACCGCAGGCACUGGACUUCGAGGCGAGGGAGCAUUGGGCGGAACGACAACGAGCGGGUUUGUAGGAGGAAGAAACGUAGCCACGGUCACAGUCGACCCACAUGAACUGACCGCCGAGGUCCACCGUGAGCUUGACCGGAACUAGAGGAGUUCGUUGGUGGAUCUCGGUUAUAUAUUGAAGAGAUGGGUGUUUGGUAACAGGGAGAAGGAGGGAUUUGGGACGGAAGGAAGUUGCAGCAAUGGAAAUGGAGAAGAGGAGGAAGAGAAUGGAGGAGAAGAAGGAGAAGGAAGUGGAGGAGGCCAUUGAGGAGGGAGUGUUUUGAGGUAAUUUGUUGGU